Molecule: non-coding RNA, 183 nt
Filed under: Paenibacillus sp.
Lineage: Bacteria; Bacillati; Bacillota; Bacilli; Caryophanales; Paenibacillaceae
Also listed under: 1 other name
Description: FMN sequence
Rfam family: FMN riboswitch aptamer (RFN element)
About the family: The RFN element is a highly conserved domain that is found frequently in the 5'-untranslated regions of prokaryotic mRNAs that encode for flavin mononucleotide (FMN) biosynthesis and transport proteins. This element is a metabolite-dependent riboswitch that directly binds FMN in the absence of proteins. In Bacillus subtilis, the riboswitch most likely controls gene expression by causing premature transcription termination within the 5' untranslated region of the ribDEAHT operon and precluding access to the ribosome-binding site of ypaA mRNA.
Source: RNAcentral
GCUUUCCUUCGGGGUCGGGUGAAAGUCCCAACCGGCGGUGAUCGGAGCGAGCCGGACAAAACGGGCAACCGUAUGUCCGGCGCUCUCCGUCAGUCCGUGACCCGGAUUGAACGAAUUGUUCAAUGCGGUGGACCUGGUGAAAAUCCGGGACCGACAGUAUAGUCUGGAUGGGAGAAGGAGGAG